This is a long non-coding RNA of Gasterosteus aculeatus aculeatus (three-spined stickleback), 283 nucleotides long. NCBI's taxonomy places the organism in Eukaryota, Metazoa, Chordata, Actinopteri, Perciformes, Gasterosteidae. The record is from Ensembl.
CCGGCAUUGUCCUCGCCCACAGAGGUUCUGGGCAGACCUGCAGCGUUCUGGACCCAUUAUCUGAAGGCUCUUUUUGAUCCGGCGUGUACAUUGAGCCUUUUGUGUCCAUUGUUGACUCGUCGUAACUGGAUCUGCGAGAAACGGAUCCGCCCCCCUGUGGCUCACCAGCGCGUCCUAACGCCACGACACUCCUGAGCCCCGAAGCCGCGGAGCCUUCACCAGUGAGGCCUCAUGGAAAAACCCAAGUGGACACUGCGAGGAGGCCCAGCUCUGUGGUCCUGGC